Long non-coding RNA from Sinocyclocheilus rhinocerous, 220 nucleotides. RefSeq lists it as uncharacterized. The transcript is spliced from 3 exons. Lineage: Eukaryota; Metazoa; Chordata; Actinopteri; Cypriniformes; Cyprinidae. The record is from RefSeq and is a predicted model, not a curated record.
GGAGAUUUAUCACUGCAGACGACAGAUUAAAUACAGCAAAGACAAGAUGUGGUACUUGGCUAAAUUGAUCAGAGGUAUGACCAUUGACCAGGCACUCACUCAGCUCGAGUUCAACGACAAGAAGGGAGCUAAAAUAAUCAAAGAGGUGAUAUUGGAAGCUCAGGACAUGGCGGUCAGAAAUCUCAAUGUGGAAUACAAAUCAAAUCUAUAUAUUGGUAAG